This 301-nucleotide ribosomal RNA is filed under the name uncultured bacterium. Its description in RNAcentral is "partial 16S ribosomal RNA". It matches the Rfam family "Bacterial small subunit ribosomal RNA", at positions 509 to 807 of the family's 1533-position model. The record is from RNAcentral.
CAGCCGCCGCGGGAAUACGAAGGGGGCUAGCGUUGCUCGGAAUUACUGGGCGUAAAGGGAGCGUAGGCGGAUCGUUAAGUUGGGGGUGAAAGCCCGGGGCUCAACCUCGGAACUGCCUUCAAUACUGGCGAUCUUGAGUAUGAGAGAGGUGUGUAGAACUCCGAGUGUAGAGGUGAAAUUCGUAGAUAUUCGGAAGAACACCAGUGGCGAAGGCGACACACUGGCUCAUUACUGACGCUGAGGCUCGAAAGCGUGGGGAGCAAACAGGAUUAGAUACCCGCGUAGUCCCUGUCUCUUAUAC